CGGGGUGGAGUAAUGUCUGGGAAACUGCCUGAUGGAGGGGGAUAACUACUGGAAACGGUAGCUAAUACCGCAUAACGUCGCAAGACCAAAGAGGGGGACCUUCGGGCCUCUUGCCAUCAGAUGUGCCCAGAUGGGAUUAGCUAGUAGGUGGGGUAACGGCUCACCUAGGCGACGAUCCCUAGCUGGUCUGAGAGGAUGGCCAGCCACACUGGAACUGAGACACGGUCCAG
RNAcentral lists this ribosomal RNA (230 nucleotides) under uncultured bacterium. Its description in RNAcentral is "partial 16S ribosomal RNA". It matches the Rfam family "Bacterial small subunit ribosomal RNA", at positions 104 to 334 of the family's 1533-position model. The record is from RNAcentral.